Molecule: long non-coding RNA, 1346 nt
Organism: Neofelis nebulosa (Clouded leopard)
Lineage: Eukaryota; Metazoa; Chordata; Mammalia; Carnivora; Felidae
Exons: 3
Source: RefSeq, a predicted model, not a curated record
UGGCACCAGACAGAACAGAGUCGGAAUCCUGCCUUGGUGACUGCUUCUGCGCAAUGAGCAUUUGAGCCGCCCAGGUGACCUCACGGAGCUCUGUCUUGGGACGCCCAGUGUCUGCCUCAUAGCCUGACCGGGAGGGUGAGGAUCAUCUAUGUGAAUCACCGGAUAGCACUGCCCCUGCAUCAGAAUGCACUUGACAUGAUACCACCAUUCCCUUUCCUUAGCUCUCGGCCUCUUCCUAUUUUGUGUUUCUUGUUAUUCCUGCGGUCUCCCCAGGUAGGAACUAAUCAUAUGUUGAGGGCAUCCUGAGACUGUUGUCCUGAACUCCCCCCAUCUCAUGAAACACUCAGAGUAUGUUUCUCCCUCCUUUUUUUUCAUGCUUCAGUUGGGUUUCUGGCAGACUCAGCAGCCUUCAGCCAGGAGGCCGAUUCCCCGCAUUGACGUGGGCGCCAUCUCCUGGUCAUCUAAGGAAGGUGGUAUGUGUGAGGGAAACGCAUGCACCGGGCACCCUCUUGGAUGCCACCGCCUUCUCCCUUGAGGACAAACCUGGGCCCAGCCCUUCCAACAAAGCAACAUGUAGAUGCUUGGGAACCACGGAGCAGACCCUUUUCCCUGCAAAGCACCAUGGAGAAUCCUUUCCACGAGGAAGGGACGUCUGGGACGAGAGCAGACAAACAGGGCAAGGGUGCAUGCAGAGAGGAACUGCCUCUGACCGGCCCCACUUGUCUUGCCUUCUCUCUUAGUUUCUGUUCUAGACAUUGAAAGCAAGAGUCAGCAGAUGCCUGCCCGGCUGGCCACCUCCUCUGUAGAUAAAGCUGUAUUCACACACGACAGCCACAGCUAUCUGUCUGCAUGUGGUGUCCUGCGAUGCCGUCCCAAGUGACAUCAUCGCACUCCGCGAUUGUUUUGGCAGGGGACAGGAAGCCGGUUACCGCCCCUGGAGGAUAAAAUCCUUACCUCCGAGACUGUGCCCCCUCUGGCUAUAGAUCAUCGCAUCCACACCCUGGUGUCAGUUCUUAUCUAUUCACAUGGAAACUUCGCUUUGCUUCUCCAGCCGGGGGCCUGUCUUCUGAGCUCCAGAACCAUCCAAACAUUAGACUGCCUACUCAGCGUCACCUCUGGAAUUUUGCAAACUCAACAUACUUAAAACCAUUUUCAUGGUUUUUUUCCCUUCCUUUCAUGCCCCCUGCCAGCCCCCUUCUCAUGCCUUACACACUAAACCCGUGUUCCCUAUUUCACCAGGAAGUGGCACAAGCCAAGAAACCGAGUAGGCUUCCCCACGCUGUCUUACAGCCACAUGUUCUUUUUAUUAUUAUUAUUAUUAUUAUUAAAUAUAAUUUAUUGUCAAA